CUCCCCCCGCCCUUUCCACGUGGUGCAGGGCGGGGAUUCCGUGAUACGUCACUUCUGUUUCUGUCGUGGUGUAGAAGAGCUGCGUGUGGAGUAGGACAAUGCCUAAGUCAAAGGAACUUGUGUCUUCAAGCUCAUCUGUCAGUGACUCAGAUAGUGAAGUUGACAAAAAGGCAAAGCGGAAAAAGCAAGCAGCUCCAGAAAAGCCUGUAAAGAAACAAAAGACUGGUGAAAGUUCAAAGGGUGCAGCUUCUUCUAAGCAAAACAGUAACAGAGAUGAGAAUAUGUUUCAGAUUGGCAAAAUGAGGUAUGUCAGUGUUCGUGACUUUAAAGGGAAAGUCUUAAUUGAUAUUAGAGAAUAUUGGAUGGAUCAAGAAGGUGAAAUGAAGCCCGGCAGGAAAGGACCCCCAGGUCCCUUUCCACAGAGCUGCUACCAUGACAUAUUUGAAAGUGUGUAGAGCAGUGCACUGACCCAUUUUUGGUCAACACAUCUUGGUCUGCUAUAGGUGAGGGAAUAAGGUUUCACUUUUGAGCCUGAACUCAAACACCACGGGUGAAAACCUGAGGUUUCUGAAACUGUGGUGGUCUGCUGCUUCCUGAGCUAAUGGGUAAAUUAGUUCCAUCCUGAAGAUCCCAAACACUUUGCUCUUCAGCACCAUGUCAAUUCUGCUCUUCCCUUCCCUGCUCCUUAUCAUUUUCUCUUCCUGGGAUGUGUUGCAUUUCUCCAUUGAAAAUAAAUUUUAUGCUUCCUCUUAUGAGGAAGGGAAGGAGAACUGAGAACAGAUACUCAAGGAACAGCUGGAGACCAAGAUCAUUAAUGAAAAAAAUCCCAUGCUUCCCAGCCCCUGCACAACCUAGAGGCUUCCCUGCAAGCUUGAGGGUUGACGCUUCUAUAAAGCCUGAUGGGAACGUCUGCGUGAAGUCACCAGACUACCAGAGGCCAGGCAGAGCAUACCUUACAGAGAGCUGGCUUCUACCCCUCUGUAGAUAUAAAGGGCUCUUUGAAGGCACACCACUGAAAGUCCUGAAAGGCCAUUUGCCCAAGAAUAACCAAGAAGAUUAUACUAAUCUGAGGAUCACUAAAGAGUAAAAUCCCUAGUAUUCAAUUACACCGGAGGGCACCUUGAUUAUUUCGUAAUAGCACAAAAGUCAAAACAGUCCCCACAGGAAGAGGCAGUUACAUGCCAUGUUUACUCCAUACCAUGCAGGGAAUUGGUUUGUCUCUGUUCUUGCUCUAGGGUUUCUUUUCCAUUCAGGAUUUGUAAAUCAAUUUCCUCUUCCUAUUCAAACCAAAGAAAUCCAUGUUCCUGCAUAUUUUAAAUGACUAUUUGCAUUACAGAGAAGCCAAGCACUUUGCAAAUGGCAUUUCAAACUGCUUAUUUUUUUGCCUGCUCCUUACAAGAUUUCUUAAUGUACUUGGCAUCUGCAAGCUAAAACUUCAGUUUUGUCCUACACUGUAUUCCCAUGACACAAUUUCUGCUGCUUAUUUUGUUGUGGAGGUGCAACAUCCCAUAUGCAUUCUAUCUUUGUUGUCACUCUUCUAGCUUUUGAAUAAACACAACAGUUUAUUUCCAUCUCCAGAAGAACCAAAUCUCACUAUGUCAGUCAUCUGUUUUGUUUUUAAAAAUGCUUCCUCUCAUACAGAGACUUUUAUACCAUAUUUUUCUUCUAUGAGUCUUCAUUUAUUUUGAGGCUUUAGGAUCUUUCUUUUGUGUGUAUAAAUCAAAGCUUGUUAAAAAAAAGAAAGGAAAAUCCAAGAUUUCUUUCCCCUGUAUCACUAUAAUCAAACUAACAAUUCGUUUGGGUCUGAUUCAUAUUUUCAUGCAAAGCCCCCUGCCUCUGCUGGAAUUGGUGUAACUGAGCAUCAGACCUUCCUUUUUACUUCUCAGAGAUGGCUAUAGCAUUUUUCCUGUAUCACAAGAAAAAAUAUCAAAGGGUUAGAACGUGAAAUGGGAUCCAAGGUUAAGUCUCUCUGAUUUAGUGUGGAGACCUUGGAGAUUUCUGCAGUUUGCACAAGGACAGAUAUAAAUCUUAUGUAAUCCUGCUCCAGCAGAGAGGCUUUGCAUAAGAACUUCUACAAAUGAAGCACCUAAUUACCACCAAAUAUGUAGCAAAGGAGUGAGAGUAAAUCUUUGAUAUGCUGUACCAGUUCUUAGAGAUCGUGACAAACCAAAACAUCACAGACGAAUGAAUAUGUAGAAGAUUACAAAUAUGGACCCAUGGGCAGAGUUUCACAAAGUGAUGAGAUCUGGUUUUGGCAUUAUCAAGGUUAAAAAAGCUGAAGCCACAUUCUGCAGAGAGUUGAACCAGCAUAAAUUCACUGCACUCAAUAGAAAUCAUUCAUACCUUUUUGAAGUGAUUUCUUUAAAAUUAUUUUUUUUGUCCAGUAGAAUUUUUCCCACAUGGAAUAUUGCAUAUCUGUACAAUGCCAUGGCUGAAACAUCCUCCAUUCUCAGUUUUAUACUAUGCACUUGCUCUUUUGCUUGAAUGUUCAGUCUCAGACAUUUCAUUGCCUACCGCCAAAGUAGCCUCAAUCCAUCUUUUUAGCAGAUUCCUCUGGCCUUGAGGGAAGAAAUAACUUUGCUGCUGUGGAAUGACUCACAGGAUCACAUUAUCAUGUGUGAGGGUUGUGUCAAAAGGGAUCCAGUAAGGACCUGAAGGAAGAGAAACACAAGCAUAUCCCCGUCCCCAGGGAACCCCCAUGGUUGCAAAACAUCGCAAAAAAUGUUUCACAACAUCCUGGGCCCGUUCCCCAGAAUGAGCAGUGGCUAUUAAAAACCCAGAGAAGGUAUCGAUAGAAAUGUGGACAUACUUAAGUCAUCCAAAGGAAGAAAUGUGUGUGACAUUUGAUUGCCACAAGUCAUUUGCAUUUAAACCUCUAGGAUUAGUUCCAGGCAAAACAGGUAAAGGAGAAAGCCACUGAUAAUCCGGGCAUGCCCAAAUUAUAUCCUGAGCUUGUUCAGUUGUUAGAGAAAAAUGUUUCCGUAAGGAGUGUGCAUUUUGAUGAAAAAAUUCAUGAGCCAAUUUGGCCUGCUCAAAACGCCAAGGAGAAACUGCAGCCAUUGUAAAUCGAUAUGCUAUUGCAUUACCUUCAACUAGGGGUCCUGGUAGGUUAGUGUGAGAUCGAAUAUGGAUGACAAAAUAGAAAUGUCUCAUUUUUAAAAGCUGCACUAGUUUUAACAAGAAAAAAAACAACUGCUUGUUGUCCAUCUCCCGUAUAAAAGCAUAUUCUAAACACUGAAUAAUACCCAUGACGUAUGCAGAAUCUGCAUAUAUUAAGAGGUUUCCUGGAAAAUAAUUCAAAAGUACGAACUGCUGCAGCUAAUUUCACAAUUUGUGUAGACCCAGAUAGAUGCAAAACAUCUGAGGCCCAGUCUGCACAGUCUGUUUGUCGUCAAACAACUGCAGCUUUACCAGAACCAUCAAUACAGUACGUGCAUUUUGCAAAGGAACAGAACUCAACAAAGAUCGUGGUUAGAGAGGUAAGCAGUGUAAAAAACCUAAUAAACGAUGACGUGGCAAAGAAUGCAAAACAACAUCAGUAUAAUCAGCCAAGGCAGCCUGAAAAGUUAAACUGUUACACAACACAGGGUGAAACUCUUCUUUUGUUAAUGGUAAAUGGAUAAAGACAGGAUCUCAUCCUGUUAUUUGUUGACAUUUCACAUGACCUUGUGAAACAAGUCUGGCAAUCAUCUCUAGGACAGUGGUUAAUGUCUUGGCAAAAGAAUGUGGUAGAAAUAGCCAUUCUAAAAUGCACAAAGCAUCCUCUUCCUUCUGCGCUUUUUUGUCCCAUUGGCCUAGAAGAGCAUACGGUUGAAAAGAAUGGUAAAUGACAAACAAUCAAACUGACAACUGGAGGGAAAUUCAGUGAGCGAAUGUGGAAUUAGAUUUAUCUGUCACUGAAGUGCUGACUGAGCGCCUUCUGUCAAUUGUCUAGGAGAAGUUAGCUCAGGAUUCCCCUUCAGUAAAGAAAACAGAGGUGACCAUGUGUUGUUAUACCUAACAGAGGUUGAAGCCAGUUAAUUGUUCCCAACAGCUUUUGUAAAUCAUUCAAAGUACUCACUGUGGUAGCAAGUCGGACCGACUGUGGAUAUACAUACAAAUCAAGAAGUUUCCAACCAGUGUAUUUCCAUGGAGGAACUGACUGCACCUUUUCUGUCGCAGUUUGGAGGCCAUAUCACAGAUGCUCAGUUACUAGACCUUCAAAAACUUGGGAAAGAAGUGAUUCAGUUUCAACAGCUAAUGAAAUAUUGUCCAUAUAAUGAUAUAACAUGAUGUUAUUAUACAGUCUGCGAAUAGUCAACAAGGCUUCACUGACCACCACUUGACAUAUGGUUGGGCUGUUUUUCAUCCCUUGCGGUAGAACUACCCAAUGAAACCGCUGCAUAGGUCGAUCAUUAUUAAUCACAGGAACUGAAAAGGCAAAACGAACACAAUCAUCAGAAUCUAAAUGAAUAUUAAAAAAGCAAUCUUUCAAAUCAAUAACCCUCAAAUGCCAAUUAUCCAGAAUCAUAGUUGGAUUUGGAGUUCCUGGUUCUAGAGACCCCAUAGGUCCCAUCACUGCAUUAAUAGCUCGGAGGUCUAGCAACAGUCUCCAUUUACUAGACUUUUUAGGAAUAACAAAUAUAGGGGUAUUCCAAGGGCUCAUGGAAGGGACAAUAUGACCUAAUUUCAAUUGUUCUUGCACUAAUUCAUGAGCCCUUUCUAGCCGCUCACCUUUCAAAGGCCACUGGUCUACCCAUAUUGGCUUGUCUGUCAGCCAAGUCAGCUUGAGUCACGGCUGAAUGUCAGUGGCCUGCAUUAAAAAUGUGUCAUUAUUGCUAUGUUCCACUGUUGCAGGAGAUCACGACCCCAUAGAGUACAUGGCACAGUCAAAACACAAGGUUUUAAAACUGCUUGUUUGUUUUCAGGACCUUCUGCUAACAAGGAAUGUAUACUUUGCCAAGGUACUUGUGUUCCUCCAAUUCCAGUAACAGCAGCAAACGGCUGUACUAAUGGCCAUUCCUGCGGCCAAUCUGACCGUUGAAUUAUAGAAACGUCCACUCCAGUGUCCACUAGACCUGUGAACACCCAACCGUUUAUUCUACAAGCCAACAGCAGAGCAGUUGUCCCAUGGUAAUUUUCUGUGUCCAAAAAAUGCGAGGCAAACCUGUGCUUCCAAACCCAGCAGAUCCCCUUUUGCCAGCAUGGGCGGGGUUUCCAGCUUGCAUCUGUGUGUUGGACAGCAGGAGCAACUGUGCAAUUCACUCCCCUGCAGGUACAGUGCAAGGUGGUGUAGGUGUCCAAACCAUAAUUUUUCUCUCUCCUGUAUAAUCAGAAUCUACAACCCCAGGCAAAACAAAUAGGCCUACUCUGGAAGUAGAGGAACGACCAAGCAAUAAGGCACAUAAACCCUUAGGUAAAGGACCAUACACUCCUGUUGCCAAGAAAUGUACAGAUUGAUCUCGAAUUACUGUGGGUUGACUGGUGGCCAGGUCCAACCCGGCACUGUCUGCUGUGGCUGGUUUGAGAGAACCGACUGUUGUAGAUUGCCCAUGCUCGGCUCGCUUACAUGCGCCAGCCAUGUCAAGGACUGCGCCAGUGGAAGCUGGGUCCUGUUGUCCAUUCUCAGGGCGCCAAACCUCGUGCCCCUCCUCCCGUUUCCCGAUGCGCUUCCAGAGAGGGGAUUGCCCUGUUUGUCAAACUUAGAACAACAUUGAUUAGCCCAAUGGUAUUCUUUCUGACAACAAGGACAUAGCUGAGUAGGUUGCUGUCCCUGCUCUCCUUGACCUCGUCCUCCUCUUUUUGCUUUCAGGCAAUCCUUCUUUACAUGUCCCUCCUGACCACAGGAGAAACAGUUAGUAGCAGCUCUUGCAACCACCAACAGUCGAGCUAAGGCAGCAGCUAACAUAUCUGCCUUAUGUCGCUCAGAACCUACGUUUUGGCAUGCUUUAAUAAGAUCAUUCAAGGUUUUUGCUCGAUUGCAAAUAGGAUCAAUAGCCUGUUUACAGUCGGUGGUCGCAUUCUCAAUGGUGAGCUGAAACAAUAAUAAUUCUACUGCUUCAGAAGACUCUGUAUAGCAGUCUGUAAAUGAUCUAGAAAUUGUACAUAUGAUUCCUGAGGUCCCUGAUGAAUGGCAGCAAAUGAUGAUUCUCGUUUUCCAAAAUCUGGCACCCAUCGGAGUGCCCUCAAGGCUAACCCUGCCGCUUGAGUAAAAAUGUUUCAUGGCAUACCAGCUUGUGCUGUCCCCGUAAUAUAAUUCCCUUCCCCCAUCAACUCAUUAACACCAAUAGCGAUUCCAGCCAUUAAAUUGUCCAUUACCUGGACCUGAACUAGCUCACGGUAUUCAGAAACCCACACAGAAUAUUGUGCUGCAGACAAGCUAAGGCGCAAAAUGAAUAUCCAGUCCAUGGGUGUCAUUACAUAGGAUUCUGCUAUAUCUUGUAGCAAAUUCAUUGUAAAUGAUGCCUGUAAACCAUAUUCCUUUAUUGACUUACACAGCUCCUUUAUCACUUCAUAUGGUAAAUGAGUAUACUCUGGUGGCCUAUGUGGUUGAUAUAACACAGGCAUGGCUUGAAGGAGUGAUAUAUCCCCUCUUUUUAAUGCUUCUGUCUGGCUCUUAUCAAGCAGCCUGCCUGGAGUUGUAGGCUGAACAGCUCUGUGCUGGUUUUGGCUGAGAAGCAGUUAAUUCUCCUCCCUGUGUGUGUGUUGACUACCUUUCCAGCUUCCCGCGCUCUGCUGCUCUGCUGCGUGGCGGGAGGCUGGGAAGGGCAGAGCCACGGGGGGGGGGGGGGCGGCUGACCCCGACUGGCCAAUGGCAUGUUCGUUCCAUACCAUGUAACACCAUGACCAGCAUAUUAAGGGGGGGAAUGGCAGUUUGCAGCUCGGGGAAGAUGCGGCGUCGGGUUGGCGGGCGGUGAGAGGCUGCGUUGCGUGUGGUUUCUUUCGGUGGUUCCCCCCUCCCUUCGCCCCUCCCUUCCCCCCCGGGUUUCGCACCUCUCGUUCUCAUUUACAUUGCAUUUUUGUUGUUGUUUCUUUUAAUUUUAAUUAUUAAACUGUUCUUAUCUCAA
Molecule: non-coding RNA, 7046 nt
Organism: Phalacrocorax carbo (great cormorant)
Lineage: Eukaryota; Metazoa; Chordata; Aves; Suliformes; Phalacrocoracidae
Source: RefSeq, a predicted model, not a curated record